This 458-nucleotide ribosomal RNA is filed under the name uncultured bacterium. RNAcentral describes it as "partial 16S ribosomal RNA". It matches the Rfam family "Bacterial small subunit ribosomal RNA", at positions 338 to 795 of the family's 1533-position model. The record is from RNAcentral.
CCUACGGGAGGCAGCAGUGAGGAAUAUUGGUCAAUGGGCGAGAGCCUGAACCAGCCAAGUCGCGUGAGGGAGUACUGCCCUAUGGGUUGUAAACCUCUUUUGUCGGGGAGCAAAAGCCGGACGUGUCCGGCUGUGAGAGUACCCCAAGAAAAAGCAUCGGCUAACUCCGUUCCAGCAGCCGCGGUAAUACGGAGGAUGCGAGCGUUAUCCGGAUUUAUUGGGUUUAAAGGGUGCGCAGGCGGAUUUUUAAGUCAGCGGUAAAAUCGUGGGGCUCAACCCCAUCCAGCCGUUGAAACUGGGGAUCUAGAGUGUGCGAGAGGUAUGCGGAAUGCGUGGUGUAGCGGUGAAAUGCAUAGAUAUCACGCAGAACCCCGAUUGCGAAGGCAGCAUACCGGUGCACAACUGACGCUCAGGCACGAAAGCGUGGGUAUCGAACAGGAUUAGAUACCCUAGUAGUC